Molecule: long non-coding RNA, 2094 nt
Filed under: Marmota monax (woodchuck)
Lineage: Eukaryota; Metazoa; Chordata; Mammalia; Rodentia; Sciuridae
Source: RNAcentral
AGCUGUCCUGAUUUUGCCUUCAGGGAACAUCUCCCACUGUCCUCUGUUCCAAGAGGAUUAUGUUCCAACAGGACAAGGGAAAAAUACUAAUAAUGUGAUAAUAAAGAAGUAUAUUAUUUAGUGAAUUAGUAUAUUGGGAGUUUAUGAGGCUUAUGGAAAAAUGAAAGGUAGAGUAGAAAAAUGGGGCCUGGCGGCCGGUUGAAGCUUUCUCAAAAUGAAAGUGAACACAAACAAUGGAACCUAAGAUAUCUGUUGGGUAAGUUUUUUUUCAUAGCCAUACAGUGUGACAAAUUACCAGUGAUUCAAUAACAAAGCAAUUUGGCAACAAAUGUUUGGAGGUAUGUAGACUAAUGCAAAAAUGUUGUUCAGUAUUUGCACUGUUAAUAUUGAUAGUUCAUUUAAAAAUGCUAUUCUCCUAAAUUAUCAGUUAGAGCAAGAAAUAAUUGUUUAUUUUGUUGGGAACCUAGCUUUCAGGAUUAGUGAAAAGGAGGGUCAGUUGUUGAUCUCACAGUUUGAAUAAGAACUGUAUGUGGUUAUGACUGAAUCAAACAAGUUAAUAUGUAGUCAUGUUUGCAUAAAACAGUAAAUCAAACAUAUUUUGGCUUUUUAUUCCCCACUGAAACAGCCCAUUAGAAAUGUCACUGCCAAAAUGCAUCCCGAUUCCCAGAUUUUGGUUUCCGAUGCUAUUUUUCUGCAAGUCUGGGGGCUGAAAGGUACAAGGUGAUUCUAGAACACCUAUACUUUGUUGGAUCAUAAAACAAAGCUUUAAAUAAUUGAGUCAUUCAAACUUAUCCACAACCCAUCUAUACAAAAUGCUCCUACUAGCUAAAGGUUUGGCAGUGGGAACAUCAGGAGAGGGUUGGCUGGCAUCAAUUGGUACAAUACAUUUGAAUUCAUCAGUCCCUAAUGAUAUCCAACAAGGGCUGACAAGAUGAAUUUUCAAAGAAUAAUUGAAUAGAAUGUAUUUCAGUUGGGUUGGGCUUAUUAACUCAUUUAUUGUGUCAGUAAAAACUACUAGUAAAUGUAAAUGCACAAUUCAGAACGUGUUUUCUCCUUCACCACCAAUCUCUGGCCCCAGUCACUGCCCUCUUCCACCUGAAGGUCUGUACAGCCUCUCCAGAGGCCAUCUCCAGUCUGCCCGCGCCUACAUCGUGUCCUGCCAAGAGGUCCUAUGGCAAAGUUCUUUUGAGUUCCUUUUGUAGACACUCUCUGCCACUCCUCCCCAUCUCUUUAAAAAGGGUGUCUUUUCUUAUUUCCUCCGCGCCUUAUUUUAUCCUUUGGCCUUUGACUAUGUAAAUGCUGAUGAUCUCUUUGAGUUUCCAGCGCCAGCUUCUGGGGCCACCUGGAUUGGAGGACCUCAUGACGUCCAUGGGUGUCUGGCGCCACCUUGUGGUGAGUUCUGGAAAAUUCCCUCUGCUGUUCCCGAGCGCAAUGAAACUCCCUGGGCCUCCGGGGAUAAAGGAAGACUCUGACCAUUUUCCCAGAAUGAGGAGUCAUUUGGAAAAUUCCCACGGGCUUUGCCUCUAAUAAACUUUCAUUGUCAGUAGUGAAUUGAGACCUUAGUGGCCUGUCUCUUAGCUCUGUGUCUGUGUUCUAUCUGUCCCUGGCACAUUGGGGGCAUCACAGAGUGCCUGGCUCGCCCUGUGUACUGUGAUGCUAUUCCCAACUUCUAAAAAAAAGAAGAAGAAGAAGAAAAAGACUUCUUUUGAUGUCUUUCUUGCUGUGUGUCCUAUUUCCAACCAUCCUGGAUUAGACUGACUUUCUGGGGGGUGUUCCUCUGGCUACGGAUCACUAGGGGGCGCCACUGUGACACCUAGUCUGUGAAAUUGGGACCAGAAACAUCAGAGCUGAUCCCAAACUAUGGCCUUCUUUUUCUCGCUCCUGGGACCCUCAGGUCCUCAAGUUCGGGACAAACCAAGUGAGCCUGGAAAACCCACACCUGCUUGAAGUGGAGAAUGAGGCUCGCAACCAGAGGACAGCGCUUCCUCUUUGCCUCCUUCAGUGAGAGGCUGCCCUCUCCCGCACCUAGGAGCGAAGUCCAGGCCCCCAGGCUGUGGAGGAGGUUCCUGGUCCCUCCACUGCACCCCAUUGAAG